RNAcentral lists this non-coding RNA (28 nucleotides) under Bombyx mori (domestic silkworm). Lineage: Eukaryota; Metazoa; Arthropoda; Insecta; Lepidoptera; Bombycidae. The record is from RNAcentral.
UGCAAUGUUUGGUACAGGUGUUGGCCAC